CCAACAGUUAAUAAUAGCCUUCAACGAUUUUUGCUCUUAGUUUAGAAAUAGAUAACAAGAAAUCUGUUUAUGAAUAAGGUAUGAAAUUUCAUUAAUUCUAUGUGUAUUAAUAAACACACCAAGUUUCAUGCAUAACCUUCUAUAAAUCAAUCCUUAUAAUACAUUGUUCCUAAGCCUUUGAACUCUUACACCAGGAUUCCUCCCUUAACAUACUCUGUAAAGGCCAAGGCAAUCAAACCCAACAUAGCAAGCCUUCCAUUCCAGAGCUCUGCAUCAGAGGUCAUGACUCCUUUGGACUUUGACUCCACACUAACCCCUUGAAACAGUGGAACCAAUGAAGCUAGAGUGAGCACCACACUAGUUCCCAAGAACCAUGGAACUCCACCAUCUGAUAUUUGUUCAAACACUCCCUGCCCUCUGGCAACUUCCACUGCCAUUGCAGCUACAAACCCAAUCAUGGCCAAUCUUCCAUUGAUCCUCUCAGGUGCAGGCCCACCAAAUGCCAUCACAUCUGAAAACUUAGUGCUCACCUGCAAUUUUACCAUCACUCAUGUUAGUAAAGUCUCAUAUCCAAGGAUUAAUUAGCAUAUAUAACUAAUUAAAUGUAAAGAAAAUAGUGAACAGAGUCACAACUAUGUAAAUUAUAUUCUUCAAACACUUGGCUCACUCACCUUUGGUGCACGAGGUUUUGGUGGUGGUGGUGAUGGAGUAACUGGGCUAGCACUUUGCUCUUUUGGCUCUUCAGCCAUGGACCUAACUCUCAAGCUAGAGUUCCUUCUCAGGCUUGGCAUGUAGACAGAAGGAAUGGUGAACUGGUUCACCCUUGACCUGGUGGUCAUGCGGAUCAUAGGGUUAGCCAGGAUAGAUUGCAUAGCAGAAGUUGAGGAAGCCAUUGCUGAAUUGGAAGUGUUGGUUGAGAUAACACAAGAACUUGCUAUAUCAGAGAAUUUCAAGGAAGAGCUUAGUCAAGUUUACAAGCUAUGCUUUUAAUGCUACACCUCCUUUGUUUGAUGAUACAUUGAAUAGAAUAAGGUAGUUUAUAUAGAAUUAAAGGCAAGCAUUGUGGUGGACAUUUAGGUUCCACGUCAAGUGUGUAUAGGCCCAAAAGGUAAUUGGUUCACGUGGGUUCUCUUGUCCACACAUGGUAAAAGGAGGAGACGUGGUUCCCUUGAGGGCCAUAAGGGUGAAUCAGGGGUUAAAAUGGUUGGUGUUAGUUUUAACUGCAGACCUAGUUCGGUCACUACUAGAACGUUCUUUUGGUUUCUUGGUAUAUAAGGAGCAGUACUUGUCUUGUUUGUUUCUAUUAGGCUGAAUCUUGUUUUUCAGAUGUUUACUCAACUGCGCUUCACAUAUGAACAAGUGAGUCAUCCAGAUGAGUUUUUCAUCCCAUUUGUCUGGCAACUAGUAUUAUCUCGUUGGUAUGGUUCCACCUGGAGCUUCUUAUUCGUGUAGUCUCAUUACCCUUACAAUUUGUUUGCCGUGCUUCAUUUCAUUCUGCUUAUGAACUGCAUGUGCUUGCUUCUUACCAGCCUUGGAUGAGUGUAGAGAUCCAUCCCUCUAUAUGAAAAUGAGAUAUCCAUGUAAUGAAUAAGCUCUUGCGCUAGUAUAAGUAUCGAUGGAAUAUUGCGGGUUUUGUACCCGAGUAGUGUAGUUUAAUUGGGGUUGUCUAAAUGACCCAAGGUAAAAAUUGGGUUAAAUCAUCCUUUGAUGAGGUGUGUGAAUAAUAUUAUAUUAUGUGUUUUAUAAAUUCCAAGUCAUUUCACUAUUUCUUUCAUUUAUAUUUUCAUAAUAUUCAUUCUAUAAAAUAAUCUAUUUGCACAAUAAACAAAUUAAUUAUGAUAUAAUCACACAACUUUUUUUUCCAAACAAAAAUUGAGAACCCUAAUCCCCAAUUUCUUCCUUGCUUUCUUGGUCUGCUACUCUAAUUUGUUCUCCCAAGAAGCAAAGUUGCAUCACCGUCGUCGGCAAUCACCUUUCAUGCAUCUUCCUAAUUGCUUUUACUCUUAGCAUAGAGUUUAUGGCAUACAUUUCUUAAAGGGGGUGAUUAGGGAUUUAUUGAUUUCACAUCAAAAACCUAUGACAUUUGAAGAUAACUCGUGCAAUGGUAAUGAAAUAUGGUGCAGAAAUUAAUUUCUUUUUAUCAUUUGAAUGAAAACGUAAUUGACGAGGAAGAGUUUGCUUGUUUACUACAAUCAAUUGAUUACACAGAAGUUUCAUAUUUGAGAGAUUUUACUCAAAUGAUUUUGAUCAAAGCAUGGAAGAAAUUGGGAUUAGGGUUCUCAAUUUUUCUUUUUGAAAAAGGAGUUAUGUGUUAUUAUUACUAAUUGAUUGGUUUAUUAGUAUGCAAAUAAAUUAUUAUAUAAAAUGAAUAUUAUGAAAAUAUAAAUAAAAUAAAUACUGAAAUAAGUUAGAAUUUAUAAAAAUACAUGUUAUAAUAUUAUUGGCACACUUCAUCAAAGGGUGAUUUAACCCAAUUUUUACCUUGGGUCAUUUAGACAACCCCAGUUUAAUUUUGUAACAAAAUUACAGCUUUGUGUACUUUUUUAUUUAUUUACCAUUUUAGUAUAAAUCGCCACUGUUAGUGACAUUUUUUUUAUUUUUUAAAAAAUCGUCGAUGCUAUUGGUGUUUUAUUUUAUUUUUUCCUUUUUUUAUUAAAUUGCCAACCAUGUUGGCAUUUUUCUUAUUUUUAAUUUUUUUUAACAAUCCCCAACCAUGUUGGUGUUUUACUACUUUUUUUACAUUUUUUUUAAAUGGCCAACUUGUUGGCUUAUAUUUUUUUAAAAAACCAGCAAUUAAAAUGGUAUUUAAUCCAUUGAUACUCACAUACUUUUGUGCCAUUUCUCUUAAAUUAAAUUAUGUAAUGCGUAUUGUUUAUCUUUAAAUAUCGGUUCAAAUACUUAUGACCAUAGUACUGCAAAAGUGAGUUUUUUUAUAAGUAAAUGUUAGUUGUUAGUAAUGUUAGUAAAUUAGUCUCUCCUAGGGUUCGAACCAUGAAUCCUUCACCAUUCAUCUCACUCAACUCUCAUGUCUUAAACUUUUAUCACUUAAACUAACCAUCGGAGACACUAUAAAAGUGAAUAAGACACGGGUGAGUAUCAAUUGAUUAAAUACAAUUUUAGUUGUUUAUAUAUAUAUAUAUAUGACAUUUAAAAAAAACUGUAAAAAAAGUAAUAAAACGCCAACAUGUUUGGCGAUUGUUUAAAAAAAUAAGAAAAACACCAACCAUGUUGGCAAUUUAAUAAAAAAACUAAAAAGAAAAACUAAAAUGCCAAUAGCAUUAGCGAUUCUUUAAAAAAAUAAAAUAAAAUUGCCACUGACAAUGGCGAUUUAUACCAGAAUGGUAAAUAAAAAAAAGUACCUCAAAACUGUAAUUUUACUACAAAACUACACUACUUAGGUAAAAAACCCAAUAUCACGGCUUCUAUUUUUGUACUUAGUUAAAGGCUGUUGUUCCUCUAAAGUUUUAGUUGUUUCUACUACCCAGCUCGUUUUGUGUCAGCACCAUGUUUGACACUAUGUAUGUUAACAUUGGUCAAUUGUCAGUCAGCACUAUAUUAUUCAAUAGUGUUACUAUGAGAAGUGGCUAACAGCACUUAUUUUAACUCUUUUUUCAAUUCUUUCUUUUAGUGGUUGAAAUUCACAUGAAACAUACUAAAUUGGUGGUGAGACUCACAUUUUGAGUGAGAACCCAAAUAAAUUUCAAUCAUUGUGCUAAAAAGAGAGGGUCGAUAGCAUAAACAAAAGCAAAAUAUUGAGUUAAUUAAUAUUUUAUUAUUUAACAUUUUUGACUCAAGUUAAUUUUAUGGACAACCACUCCAAGCUUCCCAAGUCCAUAUGUGUCAACUUCUAUCUCAGUCUCAGGUGUAACCUUCUCUCUGAAGGGUUUGGCAACCAAGAAAAAAAAGGACAUGUUGAGUGAAACCCAAAUAAAUUUCAAUUAAUAUGUGUUAAAAAGAUAUGGUCGAUAGCAUGAACGGAAGCAGAAUAUUUAGUUAAUUAGUAUUUUAUGAUUUAAUAAUAUUGUUGACUCAAGUCAUAUUCAAGUCAAUUUUAUGAACAACCACUUGAGUUAAUUAGUAUUUUAUGAUUUAACAUUGUCGACACAAGUCAUACUCAAGUCAAUUUUAUGAACAACCCCUCCCAGCUUCCCAAAUUCAUGUGUGUAACCUUCUCUCUCAAGUGUUUGGCAACCAAGAAAAAAAGGACAUAUUGAGAGUAAUUCAAAUAAAUGUUAAUCAUUAUGUGUUAAAAAAAGUGGGUCGACAGCAUAAACAAAAGCAGAAUAUUGAGUUAAUUAGUAUUUUAUGAUUUAACAUUGCCAACUCAAGUCAUACUCAAGUCAAUUUUAUGAACAACCCCUCCAAGCUUCCCAAGUCCAUAUGUGUAAACUUAUCUCCCAGCUGUAAUCUUCUGUCUCAAGUGUUUGGCAACCAAGAAAGAAAGGACAUGUUGUGCUUUCUCUAUGAUUAAGAGUGAAAGUUCCAUUCGGUAUCCUGAAAUGUAAUUUAAGUAUCUGCUAUUGCAAUUGGCCAAUUGUCAUCGAAUCUAUCAUUAUGAAGUAUGAACUAGUUUAAUGACAUUUCAAUGUUAUCCUGAAUGCAUUGUUAGAUAGAUAUUAGCUAUUACAAUAGUUAAAGGUUUACUGCAGGUUACCCCACACAAAUGGUCUGAAUGUUUUAACCACAUUAAUUUUCUGUUUAUUAUAAUUGCAAUUGCCGGAUAGUAAUUACCUGAUUCUCAUUAGCAAGAACUUCAUCAUGUUUUCCAAUUUCCAACUUUUCUCCAUGUGUGCAGUUUAAGUUAUUCGAUUAAGGCAGGUUAACAAUACAUUGUUUGAUUUGUAUGGAUCACAACAGUUAAUAAUAGCCUUCAACGAUUUUUGCUCUUAGUUUAGAAGUGAUAACAAGAAAUCUGAUUAUGAUUAAGGUAUGAAAUUUCAUUAAUUCUAUAUGUGCAUUAAAAAACACACCAAGUUUCAUACAUCACCUACUAUAAAACAAUCCUUAUAAGACAUUGUUCCUAAGCCUUUGAACUCUUACACCAGGGUUCCUCCCUUAACAUACUCUGUAAAGGCCAAGGCAAUCAAACCCAACAUAGCAAGCCUUCCAUUCCAGAGUUCUGCAUCAGAGGUCAUGAGACCUUUGGAUUUUGACUCCACACUAACCCCUUGAAACAGUGGAACCAAAGAAGCAAGAGUGAACACCACACUUGUCCCCAAGAACCAUGGAACUCCACCAUCUGAUAUUUGUUCAAACACUCCCUGCCCUCUGGCAACUUCCACUGCCAUUGCAGCUACAAACCCAAUCAUGGCUAGUCUUCCAUUGAUCCUCUCAG
RNAcentral lists this long non-coding RNA (5335 nucleotides) under Lotus japonicus. Its description in RNAcentral is "long non-coding RNA (LJAP_LNC000966)". Lineage: Eukaryota; Viridiplantae; Streptophyta; Magnoliopsida; Fabales; Fabaceae. The record is from RNAcentral.